AAAUUUAGGUGGUGAAAACAGGCAGAGUAACAAAAUUAGAUAGGGAUCAUGCUUGGGGUGAGCUGCAACGUGCAGCUAGAGAAAAGAAGACACAUCCAUUUUAUCGAGCUGUUGAUAAGAAUGGAUGCAUGUACGCAGGUGGGCUGGAUGAACCUAUAUACAGACCUUACAUCGCAAGAGACUGGCGAUUUGGGCACUACGAAAUGGAUGGAUUGCAGGAUCCAGUAAGCAGAUUGUGGAGGUCAAUCACAGCACCAAUAACAAGAAAGAAGAAGAAAGCAAGCGUACUUGAAGAAGAUGAUUUGGAGUAUCAAGACUGCAAUAAACUAUCAAACUUCAUUACUUGAAUGCUAAUCGCUUGUAUCCCUUCAGCCAUGGAGAGUAUCUUGUAGCACAGUUUAGCGAUCUGGUAGACAAAAAAAUUGUCCUUUUUAAGCUUUUUCCUUUUUUACUGCGGUCUUUAUGGAAUUGGUGAACGUAAUUUUAUGGCUUAGUUUCCAUUAUUUGUUGCAUUGUAUUAUAUGGUACAGUUUCUCUGUUUAGUAGAAACAUUUGGCUUCUGUUAAACUUGGACUGUACAAGACUGGUUGGAUCCCUGGAAAAGUCUUUUGUUUGUUUGUGA
Long non-coding RNA from Dendrobium catenatum, 622 nucleotides. RefSeq lists it as uncharacterized. NCBI's taxonomy places the organism in Eukaryota, Viridiplantae, Streptophyta, Magnoliopsida, Asparagales, Orchidaceae. The record is from RefSeq and is a predicted model, not a curated record. The transcript is spliced from 2 exons.